CUGCCCUCCAGCGGGAAGGGGCGCCAGCACAGAGAGAGAAAGGAGGAGGAAGGGAGUACACAGCUGGUGCCUGGGACUCCUUGGGCCCUUUAAUAAUAGUCUGGCGGGACGGCAUCCCUGAAGGAUCCCAGCAGCAUCGCGUACGGCAGGGAGAUGGGGAGGUCUGUGCUGCAAGUACAGUCCCUCCUUCCCGCCGGGACCACAUGCCAUGCGGUGCCCGAACGCCCAGAGAGCGGGGACGGGGAGAGCUGGCGGAGGUCACAGCAGUCGGCAGCAGGCAUCUGGCAAAACCGGAGCAGCACCGCAGAGCGAGGAAGUGUGUGGGAGAUGCCUGGAUGCCUGCAAAUGCCUUGGAGCUGCGGGGUUAAGAUAUGCGUACUGAAGGUGAAGCAAAUGACAGCGCAGUGAUGUAGGAUGCAUCAUCCAAAACGGGAUUCUGCUGGAAGGCAGUGGCCUCCGGCACUAGGCUUUCUGAGACAGAGGGGCUCGGCAGGGCCUAGGGAAGCGGGAGGAACUUCCCUGGGUCAUGCCAUGGCCCAGGGCACCAGAGACCCUUCUGUUUGUAUAAUUUGGGGAGGUCAGAGGUCGAUACACUCACACUACUACAAAAUUUAAGCCAGUUUCUGCCAGAGUGACAUCUGUGGCUCAGGAGACCAAGAAUUCACAUGGUAAAAAUUCAGGUGCUGUUUAAUCUCUCAGAAAAGUCAGCAGAGCCCACAGGAAAGACCACUGUUACAAGGAUCAGCCAAAAAGCAGUGCUUGGAGAGCAUCAUGGCUGGAUCAGCUUGGGGUAGCACAAAUAAGCAUGAUGGGAUGGCACAAGGGUGAAAGAUAAUAGGUUUUUGUAAAAUGCAUAAUUUAAUAACUAAACCACACUCUUUUCAAUAGAUAGCAUUGCAGGUAAGCUGCCUGCAUCAUUCAGGUUCCACAUGCCCCUACGUUAAAGCAACUCCAACAGUUGUAAUGAUGUCCCAAUUGUAUAUUUUCUGCUUUGCCUGUACAUAAUAAAACCGAGUUUAGCUCUCUCUGAAGCACAGUCAUAUAUAAAGAAUGCAAACAAGCAACUGAGCCUCAUCUCUGCAAACAGAAAGGCACGUGACUGUUUGCUGCAGCCUUGCUCUAUUGCACCUGCAGACAUUUCUUUAGAGAAAUCUGUGGUUUUGAGAACAGGUGGGCGAUACUUAAGAUGACAGAGCAGAUCCUAUUCCUGCUAAACUGACUUCACAGAGCACAGUACCAGGCCCAGAGCUGUUGUACAAAACCAGAAAAAGCAAACAACCUGAAGGCACUUGUUUCCCCUAAAGAGGUGUGUAGCCUUUCACAGGGCAAAACAUGUGGCAGAGAAUCACCUUGAAUCACCAGAAAAAGAGUUUUCACAUCACUGUCAGGCUAGACAUGUCCCAGGUACCACAUAUUAGCUGUUCAGAGAGUUCAGUGUGGCUUUACAGGAAAGGAAUUACUGUGAACCUUUGUAUUGUAGAAAGAUUUCCACAUAGCUCCUUUUGUUCAGGGUAGGCUUUUGUAAUCCCUCCUCUUGUUCAGCUACAUGGUGGUCUUUCCUGUUCUUCAAUAUAAAAAAACCCAAGCAUAUAAAAUGCCUUAUCUUCUGGCACUUGUGCUAACCUGAAAUAACCACACACCCAAAGGAAGUGAAACUCCUAGGAAGAGAACCACGAGAGUAACCCCCCCUUUUUUAAAGAUACCAGCCUUGCACUGCUUCUGUUUAAGCAAUGAAAGCACUUGACUUCUGCUCAUUCUGACUGAUAUUUUCUGCAUUUGCAAUAGAAUGAUUUUUGCUGUUGUUGGCCUUCCCACGACCUGUGUGUCAUUCAAUAAACCUCUGAGGCUCUCAGCACUGAGUAGCAGCUCUGGCUUCAGUUGGACUCCACAAGGUCGUGACUGGGGGUUCUCAAUUUGGGCUAAAGUCGGCAUGUGCCAUCCUGUAGGUUUAAGCAUUAAGUAAUUGGUUCUGUUUUUCUCUUUUAGUCUGACUGGUGCUAUGCUUCCAACUUACUGAAAAUAUUCAAGUCACGCAAACCCCGGUGUACCUGUCACUGCAUGCUCGCGGAAAAUGAGCCUAAGCUGAAAAUUCUAUACCUAAAGGGCUUGAAACUGUCAUCCUGAUGCCAGAUCCUACUGAAUUUUACAAGUAUGAAAGGGUACCUUCCACAUACUCUUAAUAACCUUGAUGAAAGGACUCAGGCCCUGUAAAGGUUGCUCUGACCAAACCAAUGCAAACACAAUCGAAGUGAUGCAGCAAAAUUGCCUGGAUUUGAAAACAUGCCAGGGCCAAAUUAUGGUGCUUAAGAAGCUCAAGGGCAGGCAGAUUCUGUGAAGUACUGAGCCCUCCUGGAGCCAAGGGGAGUUUGAAAAGUCCUCAACAUCUUUCCACUUUUGGCUACCUCAUAAUAUAGGCAUUAAUGUAUGCACAGCCUAUUUUUAGAAUCUGUAACAUGUUUUCUGGGUAAAAAAGCACUUGAAAGACCCCUUCUUCUCCCUUAGAGUUGACAUUG
Molecule: long non-coding RNA, 2513 nt
Organism: Melospiza melodia melodia
Lineage: Eukaryota; Metazoa; Chordata; Aves; Passeriformes; Passerellidae
Exons: 3
Source: RefSeq, a predicted model, not a curated record